UUAUGACCAUAUCACGUUGAAAUAUCAGUUCCCAUAAGAUCACCGAAGUUAAGCAACGUCGUGUCUGAUCGGUAACUAGAUGAGCGACCACUUGGGAAUACUAGGUCCUGUAAG
This is a non-coding RNA of Acanthosepion pharaonis, 114 nucleotides long. Lineage: Eukaryota; Metazoa; Mollusca; Cephalopoda; Sepiida; Sepiidae. The record is from the annotation of a GenBank genome assembly.